RNAcentral lists this antisense RNA (75 nucleotides) under Streptosporangium becharense. RNAcentral describes it as "ASpks TB sRNA". It matches the Rfam family "ASpks TB sRNA". The record is from Rfam by way of RNAcentral. Lineage: Bacteria; Bacillati; Actinomycetota; Actinomycetes; Streptosporangiales; Streptosporangiaceae.
CUUGAUCGAGCCCAGCCAGAGCGGCAGGUCGGAGGGGCGGUCCUUGCCGUAGGUGGCCAGCAGCGCCUGCGCCUC